AUGGCCUGGGCUCUGCUCCUCCUCAGCCUCCUCUCUCAGGGCACAGGGUCCUGGGCCCAGGCGGCCCUCACUCAGCCACCAUCCGUGUCCGGGACUCCUGGGACUUCAGUCACCAUCUCCUGUGUGGGAAGCAGCAAUGACAUUGGGCGUUAUAAUUAUGUCUCCUGGUACCAACAGCGCCCGGGCUCGGCCCCCAAACUCCUGAUUUAUGAUGUCACAAAACGGCCCUCGGGGAUCCCUGAGCGCUUCUCUGGCUCCAAGUCUGGCAACACGGCCACCCUGACCAUCUCUGGGCUGCAGGCUGAGGACGAGGCUGACUAUUACUGCUGCUCAUUAUCAAGCAGUGGUACUCUGCACAGUGGUGCAAGUUCAUGGGGAAGUGAGACCAAAACCUGCCCUUGGCUCCCAGGCGCCCUCCAUGCUCUGUAGAUGCUCCCAUCCCUGGGAAUGGGGCUCAGGCUGAAUGGCCUGGAGGUUUCAUCCUCUGUCCCGUCCUCCCACCUCUCCUAGAGCCUUGAGAACGAAGCAUGUUUUCUCAGCUCUUCUCCCCUCUAGGAAGUCCACUGCCUUGGCUUGUGUUUUGUGCAUACAGAAGGCCCCGCAUUCCAAAGCAUUCAUUACAACAGCCACAGGCAGCCUCUGCUCGGCUUGAGGGGUAGAUUUCCCAAAAUCCUCUGGGAAAUCCUCACU
Eptesicus fuscus (big brown bat) is the source of this 690-nucleotide non-coding RNA. NCBI's taxonomy places the organism in Eukaryota, Metazoa, Chordata, Mammalia, Chiroptera, Vespertilionidae. The record is from the annotation of a RefSeq genome assembly.